AGAGUUUGAUCAUGGCUCAGAUUGAACGCUAGCGGGAUGCUUUACACAUGCAAGUCGAACGGCAGCGCAGGGAGCUUGCUCCCGGGCGGCGAGUGGCGGACGGGUGAGUAGUGUAUCGGAACGUACCCAGUAGCGGGGGAUAACUACGCGAAAGCGUGGCUAAUACCGCAUACGCCCUACGGGGGAAAGAGGGGGAUCGCAAGACCUCUCACUAUUGGAGCGGCUGAUAUCGGAUUAGCUUGUUGGUGGGGUAAAGGCCCACCAAGGCGACGAUCCGUAGCUGGUUUGAGAGGACGACCAGCCACACUGGGACUGAGACACGGCCCAGACUCCUACGGGAGGCAGCAGUGGGGAAUUUUGGACAAUGGGGGCAACCCUGAUCCAGCCAUCCCGCGUGUGCGAUGAAGGCCUUCGGGUUGUAAAGCACUUUUGGCAGGGAAGAAACGGCGCGGGCGAAUAACCCGCGCAACUGACGGUACCUGCAGAAUAAGCACCGGCUAACUACGUGCCAGCCGCCGCGGUAAUUCAAUUAAUC
RNAcentral lists this ribosomal RNA (535 nucleotides) under uncultured bacterium. RNAcentral describes it as "bacterial SSU rRNA". It matches the Rfam family "Bacterial small subunit ribosomal RNA", at positions 8 to 534 of the family's 1533-position model. The record is from RNAcentral.